Molecule: ribosomal RNA, 1235 nt
Filed under: metagenome
Description: bacterial LSU rRNA
Rfam family: Bacterial large subunit ribosomal RNA
Source: RNAcentral
UGAAUACGAGAUGCUACGGCGUCGAAGCAGUCUAUGUCAUACUUCCAAGAAAAGCUUGCACUGUCAUAAACAAAUAAUGCCUGUACCAUAACCGACACAGGUGGGUAGGUAGAGUAUACUAAGGGGCGCGAGAUAACUCUCUCUAAGGAACUCGGCAAAAUGACUCCGUAACUUCGGGAGAAGGAGUGCCUUAUUUUAUAAGGUUGCAAUAACAAGAUCCAAGCAACUGUUUACCAAAAACACAGGUCUCCGCUAAGUCGUAAGACGAUGUAUGGGGGCUGACGCCUGCCCAGUGCCAGAAGGUUAAAGAAGUUGGUUAGCAUCCGCGAAGCUGAUAACUGAAGCCCUGGUGAACGGCGGCCGUAACUAUAACGGUCCUAAGGUAGCGAAAUUCCUUGUCGGGUAAGUUCCGACCCGCACGAAAGGCGUAAUGAUUUGGAUACUGUCUCAGAGAGGGGCUCGGUGAAAUAGACUUGUCUGUGAAGAUGCGGACUACCUGCACCAGGACAGAAAGACCCUAUGAAGCUUUACUGUAACUUGAAAUUGAAAUUGGACUUUACUUGCGCAGUAUAGGUGGGAGGCGUUGAGAAUAUUCUUGCGGGAAUGUUGGAGCCAUCAGUGAGAUACCACUCUUGUAAUGUUAGAUUUCUAACUUUGUAUCAUUAUCUGGUCAAAGGACAGUUUCAGGCGGGCAGUUUGACUGGGGCGGUCGCCUCCCAAACGGUAACGGAGGCGCACAAAGGUUUCCUCUGAACGGGUAGAAAUCGUAUCUAGAGUGUAAAGGCAUAAGGAAGCUUGACUGUGAGACCUACAAGUCGAGCAGGGACGAAAGUCGGUCUUAGUGAUCUGACGGUGCUGAGUGGAAAGGCCGUCACUCAACGGAUAAAAGUUACUCUAAGGAUAACAGGCUGAUCUCCCCCAAGAGUUCACAUCGACGGGGAGGUUUGGCACCUCGAUGUCGGCUCAUCGCAUCCUGGGGCGGUAGUACGUCCCAAGGGUUGGGCUGUUCGCCCAUGAAAGCGGUACGCGAGCUGGGUUCAGAACGUCGUGAGACAGUUCGGUCCAUAUCCGGUGUAGGCGUUAGAAUAUUGAGAGGAGCCUUCUUUAGUACGAGAGGACCGAGAAGGACAUACCUCUGGUGUACCAGUCAACGUGCCAACGGUAAACGCUGGGUAGCUAUGUAUGGAGUGGAUAACCGCUGAAAGCAUCUAAGUGGGAAGCCCACCUCAAGAUAU